CGUAGGCGGCCUGCUAAGUCACACGUGAAAUCCCUCGGCUCAACCGGGGAACUGCGUGUGAUACUGGCGGGCUUGAAUUCGGGAGAGGGAUGUGGAAUUCCAGGUGUAGCGGUGAAAUGCGUAGAUAUCUGGAGGAACACCGGUGGCGAAGGCGACAUCCUGGACCGGUAUUGACGCUGAGGCGCGAAAGCCAGGGAGCAAACG
RNAcentral lists this ribosomal RNA (204 nucleotides) under uncultured bacterium. Its description in RNAcentral is "partial 16S ribosomal RNA". It matches the Rfam family "Bacterial small subunit ribosomal RNA", at positions 570 to 774 of the family's 1533-position model. The record is from RNAcentral.